RNAcentral lists this long non-coding RNA (1861 nucleotides) under Brassica rapa (field mustard). RNAcentral describes it as "long non-coding RNA (BRAP_LNC005880)". Lineage: Eukaryota; Viridiplantae; Streptophyta; Magnoliopsida; Brassicales; Brassicaceae. The record is from RNAcentral.
UUAGUUUUUGUUAUAUUUUAUAUUUAGUUAUUUUAAUAUUACGAUGGAUGUUUAAUAUAAUAUUUUUAUUUCUUAUAUUAUAUAUUUACUUAUUAUUUAUUUUAUUUAUAUUUUCAGAGAGAUGUUUAAUUUAUUUUUUUCAUUUUUUAAUUACAUAUUUACUUAUUGUUUAUUUUUUAUAUUGUAUAUUUACCUAUUCUAUUUUUUUUCUUUAUAUCAAAUGAUAAUUUUAUUAUAGAUGUUUAAUGUAAUAUUACUAUUUCUUAUAUUUUAUGCUUGUUUUUUAAUAUUGUAUAUUUACUUAUAAAAAAAUAUUGUAAAAAAUAAAAAUGUAUAACUAUACAUUUUUCGGAUAGAUGUUUAAUGUACUUUUUCCAUUUCUAAUAUUGUAUAUUUACUUAUUAUUGAUUUUUUUCUUAUAUUGUAUAUUUAUUUAUUCUAAUUUUUUUGCUUUUAUAUCUAAUUGUAAUAUUACGAUAUAUGUUUAAUGUACUAUUUAUAUUUCCUAUAUUGUAUAUUUACUUAUUAUUUAUUUUAUAAUACAUUUUGCAUAUAGAUGUUUAAUGUAGUUUUUCUAAUUCUUAUAUUGUAUGUUUACUUAUUAUUUAUUUUUCUUAUAUUUUAUAUUUAAUUAUUAUUUAUUUUACGAUACAUUUUUCGGAUAGAUGUUUAAUUUAGUAUUUCUACUUCUUAUGUUGUAUAUUUACUUAUUAUUUAUUUUACUAUACAUUUUUCAGAUAUGUGUUUAAUUUAUUUUUUCUACUUCUUAUAUUGUAUAUUUAUUUAUUUUUUUAUUUUUUUCUUAUAUUUUAUUUUUACUUAUUCUAUUAUUUUUUUUGUUUUUAUAUCAAAAGAUAAUAUUACGUUAGAUGUUUAAUGUAAUAUUUUUAUUUCUUAUAUUGUAUAUUUACUUAUUAUUUAUUUUUUAUAUUUUAUAUUUACCUAUUGUAAUAUUAUGAUAAAUGCUUAAUAUAAUAUUUAUAUUUUGUAUGUUGUAUAUUUACUUAUUAUUUAUUUUACUAUACAUUUUUCUGAUAGAUGUUUAAUUUAGUUUUUUUUCAUUUCUUAAUUUUAUAUUUACUUAUUAUUUAUUUUUUCGUAGAUUGUAUAUUUACUUAUUAUAAUUUUUUUGCUUUUAUAUCAAAUGAUAUUAUUAUGAUAUAUGUUAGUUUAUGUAAUAUUUCUAUUUCUUAUAUUGUAAUUUACUUAUUAUUUAUUUUUCUUUAUAUUGUAUAGUAACUUAUUAUUUAUUUUUGUUUUUUAGUAAUAAUUUCAUGUGGCUUUUUUUGGAAGAGAGAUUUUAUGCUUAUGUUGACACUCCACGGAGCCCUAAUAGUCCAUUUUAUCAGUUUUUUUUUAAUUUCUUAAUUUUAUAUUUACUUAUUGUUUAUUUUUUCUUAUAUUGUAUAUUUACUUAUUCUAAUUUUCUUGCUUUGAUAGAUGUUAAUUUAAUGUAAUAUUUAUAUUGCUUAUAUUGUGUGUUUACUUAUUAAUUAUUUUUACUUAUAUUGUAUAUUUAUUAUUAUGAUUAUUUGUUGUUAGUAAUAAUGCAAUGUGGCAUCUUUUGGAAAAAGAAUUUUAUGCUUAGGUGGACACUCCAUGGAGCCUCAAAUAGUCUAUUUUAUUAGUAUAGAUUGGUUUAGUAGAUGUGUAUACAUUUUGUGUGUACAUUCAACUAGAUCCAAAUGUUUUGUAUGUAACAAGUCAAUUACGAACUAACUAACUAAGUGAAGAUGUAGUAGUCAUUAAUUUGGUUAAAGCCAACAAAGAGUGGAAUGUUGGGUAAAGACUAGCUAGUUGUUAAGUUUAAAGAGGUUGUUAAAUUAGAAGUGAGUUAAAAUGUGUAUGAACUAAAAUCAUU